RNAcentral lists this ribosomal RNA (408 nucleotides) under uncultured bacterium. RNAcentral's name for it is "partial 16S ribosomal RNA". It matches the Rfam family "Bacterial small subunit ribosomal RNA", at positions 28 to 526 of the family's 1533-position model. The record is from RNAcentral.
GACGAACGCUGGCGGCGUGCUUAACACAUGCAAGUCGAACGAAGUGGCGAACGGGUGCGUAACGCGUAAUCAACCUGCCCUUCAGAGGGGGACAACAGUUGGAAAAGACUGCUAAUACCGCAUACUGAAGGAGGGGAUUGCGUCUGAUUAGAUAGGUGGAGUGGUAACGGCCCACCAGGGCGAUGAUAAGUAGCCGGUCUGAGAGGAUGAUCGGCCACAUUGGGACUGAGACACGGCCCAGACUCCUACGGGAGGCAGCAGUGGGGAAUCUUCCGCAAUGGACGAAAGUCUGACGGAGCAACGCCGCGUGAGUGAUGACGGCCUUCGGGUUGUAAAGCUCUGUUAAUCGGGACGCGGUACCGGAAUAGAAAGCCACGGCUAACUACGUGCCAGCAGCCGCGGUAAUAC